This 150-nucleotide ribosomal RNA is filed under the name uncultured Clostridium sp. RNAcentral's name for it is "partial 16S ribosomal RNA". It matches the Rfam family "Bacterial small subunit ribosomal RNA", at positions 349 to 527 of the family's 1533-position model. The record is from RNAcentral. Lineage: Bacteria; Bacillati; Bacillota; Clostridia; Eubacteriales; Clostridiaceae.
CGGCACUUGCGAUUGACAGGAACCCUGAGCAGCAACGCCGCGUGAGUGAUGACGGUCUUCGGAUUGUAAAGCUCUGUCUUUGGGGACGAUAAUGACGGUACCCAAGGAGGAAGCCACGGCUAACUACGUGCCAGCAGCCGCGGUAAUACA